Bubalus bubalis (water buffalo) is the source of this 4743-nucleotide long non-coding RNA. RefSeq lists it as uncharacterized. The transcript has 5 exons. The record is from RefSeq and is a predicted model, not a curated record. Lineage: Eukaryota; Metazoa; Chordata; Mammalia; Artiodactyla; Bovidae.
GGCGGCGGGGCGGGGCGCUGACCUCAGCCCGCGAGGAAGCCGGUCGGGGGCCGGCCGCGCUGAUGGAAGGGCUGAUGAAUCCGCAGCUGGUGGCGAGAUUGGGCGGGUGUGUGUCUGUGUCGGUACACUUCCCCUUUAAACGCAGCCGGCAGAGGCGCAAUUGCCAGGGGCACGCACGAGGUGGCUGGGAUCGGGAUCAAAGCGUCCCCUGACAGCGGUACGGGUCCGAGUCCUGGCGCCCGGCCCCACGCCGGGACAGAGGAGUCGAGAGAUCCCGCCGACUGGGGGAGGGGUGGCAGGGGCCCACCUCCAGGGCCACCGCCAUCCGAGCCCACGCCCUGCUCCGGCGGGGUCCCGGUCAGAUGCAGUCCCAGACCAGGGGGUCCUAGGGAGGCUCUGUGCCGGCCCUGCCCACCGAGAGGGUUACCUUGGAAGCCGCCUCCUACAAGAGGAUGGCUUAACUUGCUGUCGGAACCUGCAGGAAUCCCAGGCUGCGGUCCAAGAAUAUUAACAGGGGGCCCAGCCUGGCUGAAGCUCUAGAUUAUCAGGCCUGGGGGCCCCAGAAAGCUUCUCAGGACCAGAGGUUUGUCCAGAGUCUCCAAUUGUAGGCGAGGGACUGAGGAGGCAGAGGGAAGGGGCUGCAAGGCCCUGGGUGAGGGCAGGACCUGAGAACAUCCCCUUCAGCUGUAACAGACCACCUGGAGCUUUCUUCUUCACACCUCCUCUCUGAUGAUGAUAAUGCUGCAGUGACGAAAGGCCAGGCGGAGAACCACGGUCGACAGCAUUCUCCUGCAGUCCUUGUCUGUUUCCCAUUGAACCCUCCGGAAACCUGCAGGGAGGGCCCCUGAGACCAGGGAGCGGAACCCUGAGCAGGCUGACUCAUUUGCUUAAAUCCUGCCUCUGAGGCCUAGAAAACCUGUGAUCCUUGUUCAGGCCCCCUUUCUCUUCCCGGAGAAAAGAUCGGACCCCUGCCAUCACCUUGCCGCUGGAUCCUGGUCAGUCAUCUCCGGAUUUGCUGUGUUGCUCAUGGUGGGAAGCUAGAUUGGGCUGAUCACCAUCAUGCAUCAUCCCAUGGAAAGCUCAUGUACAGCGCACAAUGGAGGAAUGGUACUGGGUGUCAAGUUUACAGACAGAGCUCAGAAUGUGUGGAGCAGCUUGUGCGUGAAGCAACGUGUCUACCCCGGGGCACGCGCAGGAAGUCCUCCAGGCACCUCUGGCCAUUGCUCCAUCUUUCUCUUGGGGCCUGCAGCCUCUACUGCGAAUCUGGCCCUUAUCGAUUCUUCCUCUCCAGAUGUCUCUCAUACCAAUGACGGAGUCCAGCCUGAUGGUACCAGGGUCUUGUAUCUUCUGCUGUGGUUGAGGCCCCUCCCUUCCCCCACUCAGGACAGACCAGCUCAGUCCUUAUCCUGGUGUGGGCACAAGGUCUCUUGUUGCAGCAGGGCCCCUUGGCUGACCUUCGCAGCUCCUCUAAGGCUGGAGAGGCCUGGCAGGAUGCCUGCGGGAGGGCUGGGCUGCUCUCCGAGGCUCCUCCCCUCCACUCCAGGGCUCUGGCCAGAGCCUGGUCAGGGUCCUUGCUGGAGUUCCCAGGCAACCCCUGGAGUGAUGGUCUGAGAAGUCCAGUGGGGAAGCCCCAGUGUGGAGGACAGAUUCCACAGCCACGGGCUGUCCCCACCCUCUCAUCGGGCAAUGUGGGUUGGUCUCUGAAUAGCUUCUGGGUGGCCUUCCCUCCAGAGCCUCUUGCCUACUUUCACCAGGUGCCAAGGGACAGUGAAAAGAGCAGUGAGUGGCCAGAGGACCACGCUCCAAAGCCAGCCAGCCUGUCUCCCUCCCAAACUGGAUCCUUUCCCUCCAGCCUCCUCUUCAUAGACUUCUAUAACAGAAAGAGGUAUAGACGUCAUCUCAUCCCUUCCCUGGCUUCCAGAGGAAUAGUUGAGAGCGAUACUGAGGUUCUCUGAGGCUUCACACAAACCUCUGCACAUUGGGUUGGCCAGAGGUCUCAGUAGUGUUUCCUUGGCAAUUCUACGCCCAUUGGGAAUACCAGCCCUGAAUAUCUGAGGCUCCCAGCCACUGGGAGGUGGGAAGAUCCUAAGGCCUCAGUGGAUGGAAUGGUAGCUGCAGGACUGCCCUCCAGGGCUGACUAGUCUCUGAUGAGAGCCAGGUGUGGAUCCAGAAGCCAUUUGGGUCCCCUGGGGAGCCUUCACAGUAGCUGCUAAGUGGAGAUCCUGGUUGGGGGGGCUCUCACAUGCACAUACGGGUAAUGGUGGAAAGGGCAGGUGGUCAGUCUGCUCCUGGGACUUCUUCCCUGGUGGUCCGGUGGUUAAGAAUCCAUCUUGGAAUGCGGGGGACACCACUUCCAUCCCUGGUCAGAGAACUAAGAUCCCACAUGCUGCGGGGCAACACAGUCUGUGAACCACCGUAAGACUCAGUGCAACCAAAUAACAAGUCUGCUCCUUCCAUCGAUCAUCUGUAUGACUUGUGUGUUCGUGCUAAGUCGUUUUAGUAGUGUCCGACUCUUGGUAACCUGAUGGACUGCAACACACCAGGCUCCUCUGUCCACGGGAUUCUCCAGGCAAGAAUACUGGAGUGCGUUGCCAUGCCCUCCUUCAGGGGAUCUUCCUGACCCAGGAAUCGAACCUGGGUCUCUUAUGUCUCCUGCAUUGGCAGGCAGGUUCUUUACCACUGAACCACCUGGGAAGCCCCUGUGUGACUUGAGGCAAGCCUAAAUCCCCUGACACCUUAGUUUGCUUAUCCGGAAAAUGCAAUAUAUUUCAUCUGGGCUGCCUCAGGUAGGAGUAAGAUAACACAUUAAGAUGUCUUGAAAGAAACAAAAUGCAACGUAUUCAAAAUAAAACGUGCCUCUUUGCUUCCCAAAAUAAAAGUUGUAAAUGAUUGAAAUCAUAUUUUACUGACUCCAGAAACCCCUUUGUGUAAAGAAGUUUCUUCUUUUGUACAGUCAAGCAUUUGGGGUCAAGCAUUUGGUGGGCUUACACUAGGCACCAUGACCCCCUCUUAUUAGAUUUUGUGAAGAUCCAGUUCCUGGUACAGAAUAGGCAAUCAAUAAAUUAUUGCUGAAGGAAUGAAUAAGAGUGAGUUCUUCCUUCAAAGAGUUCACGGUCUGGUUUGGAAGAAACUGGCAGCCAUGAAAGAGAGGCAGAAUUCGAGGAGGGGGAAGGGCUGUCUGGGCUGGUGGGAUGACCCCCGCUUGAACCAAGCUCACAGGUGGGAAGCCUAUGGUGGGCAGGGGAGGAGACCACCUUGAUGGGAGGCAGUUAAGUCUCCCUGGGUGGGGUGGAGUGGGUGGAGGAAUUGAAAACAAUGAGUUUUCCUCGAGAAUGAGACCGUGAAUAUACUGGAACCGGCUUAGAGGAAAGCACCCCGGGAAGCAGUGUGCAUCCUAUGGGGAAGGACUGUGUGUGUCACGUGAUGACGAAAGCAGCGUUUCUAGAAGAUGAGCCUGGCCUGGAUGUGCCUGAUGGGGACACACCAAACUUCUUGAAGUUCCCCAAAGUCUUCCUUUCCCUUUUUUGGCCAUUUCCCUGUUUUGAUCACUAGGAUGCCAGGCUGUCCCACGCCUGCUGAGAGAACACCUGCUCCUUCUCAUCACCGCCGGAGUCAUCUCUUCUGGGAAGCACUGUGGGUCAUUUCCUCCUGGAGGCCCUCAGCUGUACCCUGUACGCCAUUGCAUUUUUAUACCUAUUCCUUUUUAGGAUACUUCUUGGUUUUCACGUCUGGUUCCCCUUUCAGACUAUAUGUAUGCUUCUUGAAGUCUGAAGGCUCCCUGUUGGCAGUGGUCUCUCCAGCAUUGGUCCCGGUGCCCAGGACAGGGUUCCCACCUUCGUUGACAUCACCUGGAGGCACCGGGCAGGAGGCUGAAUAUAAAUCAUGCCUGGGCCUGGGCGUCUGAAGCCUCAUCUCUCACCUGCUGGAGCCUGGUCUGACUUCGUCUCAUCUCAACAAGAAGACUUGUCCUGCUGGAGACUCUGCUGCCAGCCCUGGAGCUCACCUAGCCUCUUGCACCAUGCGGACUGAGCAGGGAGAAGCAGGGAAGGUGGGGUUCCUCCAGGGAGCCCCCCAGCAGCUCACCUCCACCACCCAAGCGGGGCCCGGGGAUCCUGGGAUUCCCUGGGACGUAACUGGCCACCGGCCACUGUGUUUCCCCACGGGCUGGGCUGCUGGAUCACGAGGAGGCCUCCAGCUCCUGGUUGGGGUGGCGCUGGCUGCCUGCCACACCACAAAAGGCUGAGAUUCCCCUGAAGCUGAGAGCUGCAUUUAUCUCUCACCGGGACAGAGAAACAAACCGGCAUGCUUUGCCCAGGAGGCAUUUCCAGAAAUUUGGGUUCUGGCUUCUUGUUGAUGAAAUGCCAGAUUAUCCUGGCCCUCUUUGUGGUGAGAGAGAGCCAUUGAGCAAUAGGUGUUUUGUUUUGCAGAUGACAAGAUCUUCAACACUGAAAAGUUUAAAUGAUAGAUGCAAGAAUCUUGACCACAUCCCCACCCCUGUCAGCAAGGUUGAUGGUUUGAACUCAGUGGCUUGGACAAUUUGUCCCUCACCACCCGCAAUUCCAACCGACUCGGACCCUAGGUGCCAGAAGACCUCUUCUCUUAGGGCCCUACAGGCCCUGUGGGGCCUCUGCCAGGUCCAUGGCUGCAAUACAGGGAAACGCUGUUUUCUGAAGCAGACAUUGGGAUACUACAGUGCAGAGCUGGCAGUAUGCUUUUGUAAAUAAAGUUUUAUUGAAAAUACAA